AGUACGGGAGGCAGCAGUGGGGAAUUUUCCGCAAUGGGCGAAAGCCUGACGGAGCAAUGCCGCGUGGAGGUAGAAGGCCUACGGGUCGUGAACUUCUUUUCCCGGAGAAGAAGCAAUGACGGUGUCUGGGGAAUAAGCAUCGGCUAACUCUGUGCCAGCAGCCGCGGUAAU
RNAcentral lists this ribosomal RNA (171 nucleotides) under Malus domestica (apple). Its description in RNAcentral is "partial small subunit ribosomal RNA". It matches the Rfam family "Bacterial small subunit ribosomal RNA", at positions 338 to 524 of the family's 1533-position model. Lineage: Eukaryota; Viridiplantae; Streptophyta; Magnoliopsida; Rosales; Rosaceae. The record is from RNAcentral.